This 245-nucleotide ribosomal RNA is filed under the name uncultured Actinomycetales bacterium. RNAcentral's name for it is "partial 16S ribosomal RNA". It matches the Rfam family "Bacterial small subunit ribosomal RNA", at positions 88 to 334 of the family's 1533-position model. The record is from RNAcentral. Lineage: Bacteria; Bacillati; Actinomycetota; Actinomycetes; Actinomycetales.
UGCUCGAGUGGCGAACGGGUGAGUAACACGUGAGUAACCUGCCCUUGACUUUUGGAUAACUUCAGGAAACUGGGGCUAAUACCGGAUAGGAGCUCCUGCUGCAUGGUGGGGGUUGGAAAGUUUCGGCGGUUGGGGAUGGACUCGCGGCUUAUCAGCUUGUUGGUGGGGUAGUGGCUUACCAAGGCUUUGACGGGUAGCCGGCCUGAGAGGGUGACCGGCCACAUUGGGACUGAGAUACGGCCCAG